Molecule: ribosomal RNA, 289 nt
Filed under: uncultured bacterium
Lineage: Bacteria
Description: partial 16S ribosomal RNA
Rfam family: Bacterial small subunit ribosomal RNA
Source: RNAcentral
UCCCACCUACGGGGGGCAGCAGUGAGGAAUAUUGGUCGAUGGGCGCGAGCCUGAACCAGCCAAGUCGCGUGAGGGAAGACGGUCCUAUGGAUUGUAAACCUCUUUUGUCGGGGAGCAAAAGACGCCACGUGUGGCGUUCCGAGAGUACCCGAAGAAAAAGCAUCGGCUCACUCCGUGCCAGCAGCCGCGGUAAUACGGAGGAUGCGAGCGUUAUCCGGAUUUAUUGGGUUUAAAGGGUGCGCAGGCGGAAGAUCAAGUCAGCGGUAAAAUUGCGAGGCUCAACCUCUUC